This is a long non-coding RNA of Acinonyx jubatus (cheetah), 3342 nucleotides long. RefSeq lists it as uncharacterized. The transcript is spliced from 2 exons. NCBI's taxonomy places the organism in Eukaryota, Metazoa, Chordata, Mammalia, Carnivora, Felidae. The record is from RefSeq and is a predicted model, not a curated record.
GGGUGGGUGGCCCCGGGAAGGAGUGGGCAAAGCAGGGCCCGCCCCGGUGCUUGUUUUUAGCAGAAUCAGAGGAGCCCCUGGUUCUGUAGACGGGCGGCGAGUGAGUGUAGGGCCAGCCGUAGCGGGUCACAUUCCCGCUCUGCCAUUGACUCUGGCCACAGACGCGGAGAGGUUGGGCUGGGCAGAGAGCCAGGGAAGUGGCCGUAGGGGAUGGCGGGGGGGUGGGGGUGGGGGUGGCAUUCGCAGGUGCAGGGCACGUGGCACAGGCUAGCUGCUUUGCAAACUCCUUUUCCCCCACAGGGCUUCUGGGUGGACACAGGCGCUGAGCCUGGAGGCUGCAGGAAGCCAACCUCCCUCUCCUCCUCCCCUGCCCCGAAGGACCCCUCCCAGCAGCCCUGGUGCUUGGGUCUGGCCCUCUCCGGUGCAUGCCUCCCUCCAGGCCCUUAGCCUAGGCUCCCCGAGAGCAUCCCAGUGCCUCACUGGGAGCUCCGACUCUCUUUUUCCCCUCCAGGAACCCCCGCCCCGUCCGCACACACACAGCUGCUCUCCCCGCAGAGCCAACGGCUGCCCAAGGAGGCUUUCAGGACACCCCUCUCCCACUGAGGGCCACCAGGCAGGGGUGCGACCCCUGGGGGAGACUGGAAGCCCUCCCCACUCAAGCACGGCAACCACCUGCAGGGAGCCGGGGACUCGUACCGAUGCUGCUCAAGCCGGCCAUUCUGGGGGGGACAGGGAGGGUGUCCUCUGUCCUCUUUGCACCUGCCAGGGCCCAGGUGUUGAAGAUUCCACCUCCAGCAUCAUACAGUAAACUCAGUGUGACUCUGACGUAUUUGCCGAGAUUGGCUUGUGAUCUCUUAGGGCUCCUGAUGUCCUUCCCGUGGGGCUGUCACUUUCUCCCUAGGUAGGUGAGUGAACAAGAGAAAGCAAGGGCUACAGAGAGGAAGGAGCAUGGGAGGGGGCUCUAGGCCCGCCUGGCACCAGCUGCUGGGCCAGUCCUCUGGCCUUUUGAUCGGCCACUUGACCAUCUUGCCUACCGUGGUCUCAUCGGCUCACUCCUGGCUGUGGUCCUGGGUCCCAGCCACCAGAGAACAGGGAGGGCUGGGGUUUGAAUGUCCUUAGAGCUCCAAGGGAGCUUGGCUCUGCUCCUUCCCUGCUCCCUGGAGGAAUUGGAUGGAGAGAAGGGGCUCCUGUGGUUCCUUUCAGUGAGGAAGCCUGCUGCAGUCAGAGCUGAGAUGCUCUGUGGGAGUGCAGGCCCAGAGGGGAGUCGUGGCCUGCCCAGGAUCCCACAAGACUGGGCCCAGGUGCCUGCCUCCCAAGGCCCUCUCACCCCGUGAACCCUGGAGAAACAGCUGGGGCCUGUGUGUGUCCCAGGGAAUAACCCCUGAGCUUCCUUGGGUCGGGACUCAUGGCUCUGGGUCCCAUCCUCAAGGGCAGGACGAGGGAAGGGCUCUGGGCCUCUUUGUGGGGCAGGAACCCUGGCCGUCCCCGCACCCUUGUGUGAACCGGCAGGAGCAAAGGGGUGGGGAAGCCAGACCUCCAGGGAGGGGAAGGGUGGGGAGUGCCGUUCCUCCGAGCACAUUCUCUAAGCGGGCUCCAGGCUCCGAGCUGCCAGCACAGAGCCUGACACGGGGCUCGAACCCUCAAACAGUGAGGUCGUAACCUGAGCGGAAGUUGGACGUUUAACCAACUGAGCCACCCAGGUGCCCCCGUGACAGUUUUUUUGUUCGUUUGUUUUUUACAGUGAGAUCGGAGGGACUGACAGCACAGAAUCCGCUUUGGAUCCUCUGUCUCCCUCUCUCUGUGCCCCUCCCCCCCCCAUACUCCCUCUCUUUCUCUCAAAAAUAAAUAAACAUUAAAAAAUAAAUAAGGAUGUGGAGACCGUGGCGGCCCAGGCUAUGGUGAGCUCACGGGGGAGGAAGCAGGGAGCAGACCACGACCUGAAGACAAAGAAGGUGGUCGUGAGCUCACUGCCCCCCACGUUAGGGCCACACCUCUGCUCCCGGUCAGCCUGAGGACACCCCGGGGCUUUGGAGGUGUGGAGGCCAUUCAGUGAAUCCAGGUGAGCCAGGAUGCCUCGUCGCCUUGGUUUCUCUCCGUGAGAUGCAGGGCAGCUCUGUGCCCCUGCAGGGCCUUUUCGGUUAGCACAGGACAGUCAGGUCCUGGUGAGUUCAGCCCCACCCAGACAUCCAUGCCCUGCACGGCUGCACUUGGCCGCCUCAGCGAAAGUGCACACAGUUCAGCUGAGGCCAGUCAGGAUCCUCGCCCCUUUCCCACUCGUCUCCUCGGAACAGCCUUCCCAGAUCACCUAAGGCAGGGAAUGGUAAAAUGUCAGCCAGCACAUGAUUUCUGCCUCUGAGCCAGAUGCUCACCCUCUUCUUCCUAAAUCGGGGCGGUAGAGCAGUUGGGCAUCUUCUGUAAGGUUCUGGCUCAACAUUCCUGCCUCUCAAAGGGUGUCAGACAGAAUCAGAAACAUCCUGAGCGGGAGCACCGAGGGUCAAGCAGGGACAUCACGGUGUCCCUUCCUCGCUGCCCUUCCCACGGGCUCUGGCCCCUCCUCUUUCCAAGGAUCCAGGAAUUCCCCUCCAGCUUCCCAGACUGUUUUUCCAUUCCCGCCUCUGCUAGCACGAGGGGAAAUAAGGUCUGGAUACUUCCCACCCCCUGCAAGUACCCCCCCACAACUCCAGAUGAAAUCAGUUCAUUCGAUCUGAUUUCUCCUCUGCGGUGCCAGUCUUCCAAAUUUUGUGUUGUUCUCAACCGCAGACCUGUAUCUCCCACUUCCUCUGGAAUUGUGGAGUUUGGGGGUGAAAACACUCGUGAGCAGGAUGCUUGCCCCUUGGGAUUUCCAGACCACCGCUGGCCCGGAGACCGUCAGGAGUGUGGAGGGCUAUGGCUCUUAGAUAUGGAAACUCAGACACAAAAGGUUCCAAGUUACCCGUUCCGAGAACUCCCGUCCCUCCAGAAUUCACCUGCUGGUAGAGAAUCCAUCACAUGGGACGAGAAGGAUGGAAACGCUUUUGGUAGGACACCUCUCAAAGAGAAGACCCAGAAGUGGGCACCUGGGGGUAUAGGGAACAUAGGCGAGGUGGAGACGGCCAUGCCCAAAAAGGAGAGGGGUUUGGGGAUGGAAGUAGAGAAACUGUUUUAGAAAACUAGCCCGGGGCGCCUGGGUGGCUCAGUCGGUUAAGCCUCCAACUUCAGCUCAGGUCAUGAUCUCAUGAUUUGUGAGUUCAAGCCCCGCGUCGGGCUCUGUGCUGAUGGCUCAGAGCCUGGAGCCUGCUGAGAAUUCUGUGUCUCCCUCUCUCUCUGCCCCUCCCCUGCUCACACUGUUUCUCUCUCUCUCUC